GGCAGGCUCGGGGCGGCGCCGCCCAAGAAGGCGAGCUCGGCACGGCCCGGCCGCACCUCAAACCCCGGCCCGGCCGCCGCCGCCCGCCCCGCCGGGUUCCGGCCCUGGGCCGCACUACGCGUCCCGCCGUGCGGGGGGAGCCGCUCCCGCUUUCCCGCUCUGCCCGCGUCCCGACUCGGCGCGGCCGAGAGAACAGCCCGCGUCCCUCUUCUGUGCCGCUACAGAAGCCGAACGGCCGGCUUUCCUCUUCGUUUCGCCCUUUCCUUCAGGUCUCCUCGCCGCCCGCUCUGCCGCGUCCCCCCGCGAGCAGCCGGCAGUGGCACGGCCGGGCGGAGGGGGCGGCCGCAGCGGCGCCGUGUGUCAAUGUGUCCGUCCUUCACUCCUCCAUUGUCUGACGCCGCCAGUGCCGCCGCCGCGCCUGCCCUCCCGGAGCGCGCACCCACCCGACAGGUGGUGUGUAUGAUGGUUAUUGUAAUGAAUGCAUAUGUGAUCCUAAACACCUGAUGCUUUCUGCAGCUGUGAAGAGUGAGGUUAAUGCAAGAAAAUAACAAGGAUUUCUUUGGUUGAGUAUUAGUCACGUUCUAUUUUGAUAUACAACAAUUUUGGGGGGAUCAGGGUAGGGCAGAAGAAGCUGUUCUGUGCCUUGGAGAACAUGCUGUGAAAUGGCUGUAGGAUGUGAAAGAGAAAAAGGAGAUGCUGAACUCAUUUCACUGGUUUCAAGCUUUCUUCCAUUCUGUCAAGUGACUGUCACUUGUGCCUUGGCUUGCUUGAAUUCUGAUGAUUGUCCUCUCUUGCUCUCCUGCUGGCUCAGAGAUUGUAUACCCUCUCUCUGUGCCAGAUGAUCAGAAACUUGCUCUGGCCCACUUCAUUUUAUCUAGGGAAAAAUACAAGAACAAGUCAAACAAGUAUUCCCACAGCUUAUUCUCCUAGCUUCCAUCCUGCUGGGUCAUAGCUAAGGACCAUCUAAACACAGGGCGGUAUCUUUGUUUUUGCCUUUGUACUUGAUAGCCUGCAGUUGUGGGUUGUUAUGUUUUUUGGGUGUUAUUUUUAAUGUAUGUAAACUUUGCAUCUGCAGCAUCCUUUUAUAGUUGCAUGGAAAAAAAAAAGUAAAAAUUCCCUUUUAUUUGUUUUUAAACUGGUCACUUUUUGCCUUUUUUGUUUUCUUUUUUCCCCUGUCCUAGUUCCUCUUUUGAGAGUUUAUGGAAAAAAUUAUUCUCUAUUCAUCCUUGAUGGGCAGUCAUGGCUUGAAAGACAUGUAUCAUCCCACACCACUGGUUUUUUUUUGCUUUUUUUUUUUUGCCAACCUGAAGUGUGAAGUCUAUGUAGUCAUUCCUAUGUGAACUGUUUCACAUGGCUCUCAUGUCCGCUUUUAUAAAAUGGAUCCACUUUUUGCACAGCCUGUGCUGUGGGGAAUCUCCUUAAAGUAGGGCUGAUCCUAUGAGACAGAUCUCUGCUGAGUUCUGGACCUACUGACUCCAAUCCUGAUAAUGAUAUCCUGCCAAAG
Molecule: long non-coding RNA, 1504 nt
Filed under: Phasianus colchicus (ring-necked pheasant)
Lineage: Eukaryota; Metazoa; Chordata; Aves; Galliformes; Phasianidae
Description: lncRNA (ENSPCLG00000004240.1)
Source: RNAcentral